AGUGAACGCUGGCGGUAGGCCUAACACAUGCAAGUCGAACGGCAGCACAGUAAGAGCUUGCUCUUACGGGUGGCGAGUGGCGGACGGGUGAGGAAUACAUCGGAAUCUACUUUUUCGUGGGGGAUAACGUAGGGAAACUUACGCUAAUAUCGCAUACGACCUACGGGUGAACGCAGGGGAUCUUCGGACCUUGCGCGAGUGAAUGCGCCGAUGUCGGAUUAGCUAGUUGGGGGGGUAAAGGCCAACCAAGGCGACGAUCCGUAGCUGGUCUGAGAGGAUGAUCAGCCACACUGGAACUGAGACACGGUCCAGACUCCUACGGUAGGCAGCAGUGGGGAAUAUGGGACAAUGGGCGCAAGCCUGAUCCAGCCAUACCGCGUGGGUGAAGAAGGCCUUCGGGUUGUAAAGCCCUUUUGUUGGGAAAGAAAAGCAGCAGGUUAAUACCCCGCUGUUCUGACGGUACCCAAAGAAUAAGCACCGGCUAACUUCGUG
This 492-nucleotide ribosomal RNA is filed under the name uncultured bacterium. Its description in RNAcentral is "partial 16S ribosomal RNA". It matches the Rfam family "Bacterial small subunit ribosomal RNA", at positions 29 to 507 of the family's 1533-position model. The record is from RNAcentral.